RNAcentral lists this ribosomal RNA (497 nucleotides) under uncultured bacterium. Its description in RNAcentral is "partial 16S ribosomal RNA". It matches the Rfam family "Bacterial small subunit ribosomal RNA", at positions 28 to 507 of the family's 1533-position model. The record is from RNAcentral.
GAUGAACGCUGGCGGCGUGCCUAAUACAUGCAAGUCGAGCGAACAGACGAGGAGCUUGCUCCUCUGACGUUAGCGGCGGACGGGUGAGUAACACGUGGAUAACCUACCUAUAAGACUGGGAUAACUUCGGGAAACCGGAGCUAAUACCGGAUAAUAUAUUUAACCGCAUGGUUCAAUAGUGAAAGACGGUUUUGCUUUCACUUAUAGAUGGAUCCGCGCCGCAUUAGCUAGUUGGUAAGGUAACGGCCUACCAAGGCAACGAUGCGUAGCCGACCUGAGAGGGUGAUCGGCCACACUGGAACUGAGACACGGUCCAGACUCCUACGGGAGGCAGCAGUAGGGAAUCUUCCGCAAUGGGCGAAAGCCUGACGGAGCAACGCCGCGUGAGUGAUGAAGGUCUUCGGAUCGUAAAACUCUGUUAUUAGGGAAGAACAAAUGUGUAAGUAACUAUGCACGUCUUGACGGUACCUAAUCAGAAAGCCACGGCUAACUACGUG